CCUACGGGAGGCAGCAGUGGGUGAUAUUGCACAAUGGGGGAAACCCUGAUGCAGCGACGCCGCGUGGGUCAAGAAACGCCUCGGCGCGUAAAGCCCUGUCAGCAGGGAAGAAAAUGACGGUACCUGAAGAAGAAGCCCCGGCUAACUACGUGCCAGCAGCCGCGGUAAUACGUAGGGGGCAAGCGUUAUCCGGAUUUACUGGGUGUAAAGGGGGCGCAGACGGCGAUGCAAGCCAGGAGUGAAAGCCCGGGGCCCAACCCCGGGACUGCUCUUGGAACUGCGUGGCUAGAGUGCAGGAGGGGCAGGCGGAAUUCCUGGUGUAGCGGUGAAAUGCGUAGAUAUCAGGAGGAACACCGGUGGCGAAGGCGGCCUGCUGGACUGCAACUGACGUUGAGGCCCGAAAGCGUGGGGAGCAAACAGGAUUAGAUACCCCUGUAGUC
Molecule: ribosomal RNA, 440 nt
Filed under: uncultured bacterium
Lineage: Bacteria
Description: partial 16S ribosomal RNA
Rfam family: Bacterial small subunit ribosomal RNA
Source: RNAcentral